RNAcentral lists this transfer RNA (73 nucleotides) under Bos taurus (domestic cattle). It matches the Rfam family "tRNA". From Rfam's summary of the family: Transfer RNA (tRNA) molecules are approximately 80 nucleotides in length. Their secondary structure includes four short double-helical elements and three loops (D, anti-codon, and T loops). Further hydrogen bonds mediate the characteristic L-shaped molecular structure. tRNAs have two regions of fundamental functional importance: the anti-codon, which is responsible for specific mRNA codon recognition, and the 3' end, to which the tRNAs corresponding amino acid is attached (by aminoacyl-tRNA synthetases). tRNAs cope with the degeneracy of the genetic code in two manners: having more than one tRNA (with a specific anti-codon) for a particular amino acid; and 'wobble' base-pairing, i.e. permitting non-standard base-pairing at the 3rd anti-codon position. Lineage: Eukaryota; Metazoa; Chordata; Mammalia; Artiodactyla; Bovidae. The record is from Rfam by way of RNAcentral. RNAcentral also lists the same sequence under 3 other names.
UCCCUGGUAGUCCACUGGCUAAGACUCUGCACUCCCAAUGCAGGAGGCUCAGGUUCAAUCCCUGGUCAGGGAA